UACGAAGGGGGCUAGCGUGGCUCGGAAUCACUGGGGGUAAAGAGGGCGUAGGCGGGUCUUUAAGUCAGGGGUGAAAUCCUGGAGCUCAACUCCAGAACUGCCUUUGAUACUGAGGAUCUUGAGUUCGGGAGAGGUGAGUGGAACUGCGAGUGUAGAGGUGAAAUUCGUAGAUAUUCGCAAGAACACCAGUGGCGAAGGCGGCUCACUGGCCCGGUACUGACGCUGAGGUGCGAAAGCGUGGGGAGCAAACAGG
RNAcentral lists this ribosomal RNA (253 nucleotides) under uncultured bacterium. Its description in RNAcentral is "partial 16S ribosomal RNA". It matches the Rfam family "Bacterial small subunit ribosomal RNA", at positions 524 to 776 of the family's 1533-position model. The record is from RNAcentral.